Molecule: ribosomal RNA, 537 nt
Filed under: uncultured archaeon
Lineage: Archaea
Description: bacterial SSU rRNA
Rfam family: Archaeal small subunit ribosomal RNA
Source: RNAcentral
AGCAGCCGCGGUAACACCGGCGGCCCGAGUGGUGAUCGUGAUUAUUGGGUCUAAGGGUCCGUAGCCGGUUUGGUCAGUCCUCCGGGAAAUCUGAUAGCUCAACUAUUAGGCUUUCGGGGGAUACUGCCAGACUGGAACCGGGAGAGGUAAGAGGUACUACAGGGGUAGGAGUGAAAUCUUGUAAUCCCUGUGGGACCACCUGUGGCGAAGGCGUCUUACCAGAACGGGUUCGACGGUGAGGGACGAAAGCUGGGGGCACGAACCGGAUUAGAUACCCGGGUAGUCCCAGCCGUAAACGAUGCUCGCUAGGUGUCAGGCAUGGCGCGACCGUGUCUGGUGCCGCAGGGAAGCCGUGAAGCGAGCCACCUGGGAAGUACGGCCGCAAGGCUGAAACUUAAAGGAAUUGGCGGGGGAGCACAACAACGGGUGGAGCCCUGCGGUUUAAUUGGACUCAACGCCGGACAACUCACCGGGGGCGACAGCAAUAUGUAGGCCAAGCUGAAGACUUUGCCUGAAUCGCUGAGAAGUGGUGCAUGG